GCUCGGUUAGGCAAAUUGGUGAAGCCGCCACUCUUUCAAGGUGGAAACUGCGAGUUCGAACCUCGUACCGAGUA
RNAcentral lists this transfer RNA (74 nucleotides) under Sphingobacteriales bacterium. Its description in RNAcentral is "tRNA-Glu". It matches the Rfam family "tRNA". From Rfam's summary of the family: Transfer RNA (tRNA) molecules are approximately 80 nucleotides in length. RNAcentral also lists the same sequence under 1 other name. Lineage: Bacteria; Pseudomonadati; Bacteroidota; Sphingobacteriia; Sphingobacteriales. The record is from RNAcentral.